GGCGGCCUAGGUUUCCGCGACUUGGAAAUUUUCAACCUCGCGCUGCUUGCUCGCCAGGCUUGGAGACUGUUGAUGGAUGAGUCAUCAUUGAGUGGAAGGAUUCUGAAAGCGGUCUACUACCCAAACUGCUCACUUUUAGAGGCGGAGCUGGGGGCGCAUCUUUCCCAGAUUUGGCGGGCGAUCCUUGAUGGGUGCGGCAUCCUUGCGCAAGGAAUAAUUAGAAGAAUCGGCAAUGGUGAAAUCACAAAUAUCUGGAGCCAAAACUGGAUCCCUCGGGAUAGUUUUAAGAGACCCAUUAUCUCUCUGGUCCCAAAUCCGCCUCAGAUGGUGGCUCAACUAAUUGAUGCUACAAGCUCAUCUUGGAACGUGGAUCUUGUAAGGGCGACUUUCACUCAGGUUGAUGCAGCAGAAAUAUUGAAGAUACCCCUAUGUACGAGGAGGAUAGAUGACUUCUGGGCAUGA
RNAcentral lists this ribosomal RNA (462 nucleotides) under Triticum aestivum (bread wheat). Its description in RNAcentral is "partial small subunit ribosomal RNA". The record is from RNAcentral. Lineage: Eukaryota; Viridiplantae; Streptophyta; Magnoliopsida; Poales; Poaceae.